GAACGCUAGCUACAGGCUUAACACAUGCAAGUCGAGGGGCAGCAUUUUAGUUUGCUUGCAAACUAAAGAUGGCGACCGGCGCACGGGUGAGUAACACGUAUCCAACCUGCCGAUAACUCGGGGAUAGCCUUUCGAAAGAAAGAUUAAUAUCCGAUGGUAUAUUAAAACCGCAUGGUUUUACUAUUAAAGAAUUUCGGUUAUCGAUGGGGAUGCGUUCCAUUAGUUUGUUGGCGGGGUAACGGCCCACCAAGACUACGAUGGAUAGGGGUUCUGAGAGGAAGGUCCCCCACAUUGGAACUGAGACACGGUCCAAACUCCUACGGGAGGCAGCAGUGAGGAAUAUUGGUCAAUGGACGAGAGUCUGAACCAGCCAAGUAGCGUGAAGGAUGACUGCCCUAUGGGUUGUAAACUUCUUUUAUAUGGGAAUAAAGUUUUCCACGCGUGGAAUUUUGUAUGUACCAUAUGAAUAAGGAUCGGCUAACUCCGUGCCAGCAGCCGCGGUAAUACGGAGGAUCCGAGCGUUAUCCGGAUUUAUUGGGUUUAAAGGGAGUGUAGGUGGAUUGUUAAGUCAGUUGUGAAAGUUUGCGGCUCAACCGUAAAAUUGCAGUUGAAACUGGCAGUCUUGAGUACAGUAGAGGUGGGCGGAAUUCGUGGUGUAGCGGUGAAAUGCUUAGAUAUCACGAAGAACUCCGAUUGCGAAGGCAGCUCACUAGACUGCAACUGACACUGAUGCUCGAAAGUGUGGGUAUCAAACAGGAUUAGAUACCCUGGUAGUCCACACAGUAAACGAUGAAUACUCGCUGUUUGCGAUAUACAGUAAGCGGCCAAGCGAAAGCAUUAAGUAUUCCACCUGGGGAGUACGCCGGCAACGGUGAAACUCAAAGGAAUUGACGGGGGCCCGCACAAGCGGAGGAACAUGUGGUUUAAUUCGAUGAUACGCGAGGAACCUUACCCGGGCUUAAAUUGCAUUUGAAUAAUCUGGAAACAGGUUAGCCGCAAGGCAAAUGUGAAGGUGCUGCAUGGUUGUCGUCAGCUCGUGCCGUGAGGUGUCGGCUUAAGUGCCAUAACGAGCGCAACCCUUAUCUUUAGUUACUAACAGGUCAUGCUGAGGACUCUAGAGAGACUGCCGUCGUAAGAUGUGAGGAAGGUGGGGAUGACGUCAAAUCAGCACGGCCCUUACGUCCGGGGCUACACACGUGUUACAAUGGGGGGUACAGAAGGCAGCUACCUGGCGACAGGAUGCUAAUCCCAAAAACCUCUCUCAGUUCGGAUCGAAGUCUGCAACCCGACUUCGUGAAGCUGGAUUCGCUAGUAAUCGCGCAUCAGCCAUGGCGCGGUGAAUACGUUCCCGGGCCUUGUACACACCGCCCGUCAAGCCAUGAAAGCCGGGGGUACCUGAAGUACGUAACCGCAAGGAGCGUCCUAGGGUAAAACUGGUAAUUGGGGC
Molecule: ribosomal RNA, 1447 nt
Filed under: uncultured organism
Description: SSU rRNA
Rfam family: Bacterial small subunit ribosomal RNA
Source: RNAcentral